UUUCUGCCUGGCCAUAGUCUUGACUGUACUGUUACUUCGGCAGACAUCCAUCCCUACGCCAAAGUUAGUAGUUGCGCUGCGGCCAGCCAGGUAGCCUUCACCGCUUGAUUGCUGCGGCUUUUUCAGUCACUAACGGGUGUAAUUUUAAGACGUGGAAUAUUCUACUUGUUCAAUAGCCUAUAAAUUAUUUUAUUUUGCUCCGUUAUCUUAUUCUGUCUUGGUAGGACGCAUAGGCUAAGUCUUCACAGGGCAAGGCUAUUAGGGAUAGAGCAAGUAAGGCUAUUAUUUGCAUCAGGAGUUAGCUUUCAAGCUAAAUUAAGAAGUCUGUUUUCAUGCCGGAUUUUGAACAUUUCAGGUUUUCAUACUCAAGCAUGAAUCCGUUAUUGGGAGAGAACGCGUAUCUGGUUCAGCAACAGCAGCAUAACCAGAUGGGCAGCAAUUUGGAUUCUUCCAUGACAGGCCUAGACUCAUACGGUGCACCUGACUCAGGCUUCAUCUUGGGUGAGCACACUGGCUUUGGACAAGAUGGGCUAUCUGGCCUGGAAUUUAGUGCGCUGCCACCUUCGGGACUCGCGUAUCUGCACCUGAACAACAUGCACCGUGCGCCGCCGCCCCCCGCAGCGAUGGCCCUGCGUAACGACUUGGGCUCCAACAUCAGUGUUCUCAAGACCUUGAAUUUGCGCUUCCGUUGCUUUUUGGCUAAAGUUCAUGAGCUGGAGCGUCGGAAUAAAGCUUUAGAGAAACAGCUUCAGCAGGCUUUGGAAAAUAACGAGGACAAUUCAGGAGAAGGACACAGGAAAAAGCCAUUGACUAAGGAAAUGGGAGUCCAGACGGGUUUCGUAGGGCCCAUCGCAGUUAGGCCUGGACAUAUCCCCCUCCAGAACGUCAAUAAUUCUGCAUACCUGCCCGGAGGGCUUCUCUCUCCAUCACUCAACAGACCUACAACUCCCGUCUUUGAGUCCAACAGCAAAUCACUAUUUAGGAACUCGACUCUGACGGACUCGAAUUGCAACCUCAAUUCCAACCAACUCACUCCACAUAUUUCCAUCAGUCCUUUAUUAACCCCUACUGAUCCUUUCGAGACUAUAUCCAACAUUAACGAGAAAUAUGUCCGUUUUGGGACUGGUAUGUCUACUAACCCGCCUCCCCGGUUCCUUCCCGGCACCGUUUGGUCCUACAACCACGACCGCAGGUUUGGCGCGGGGAGGGAGUCGCGCGUUACAGACAUGGGUGUGCCUUGUGCCCAAACGGACGGAGUAGGUGUACAAAUCGACACCAUCACCCCUGAGAUACGGGCCCUGUACAACGUGUUGGGCAAGGUGAAACGAGAGAGGGAUGAGUAUAAACGCAGAUGGGAGGAAGAGUAUACAUUCAGAGUGGACCUCCAGGAGAAAGUGGCUGAGCUGGAGGAGGAUCUCCAGGAGAGUGAGGUGUGUCAGGAUGAGCUGGCCCUCAGGGUGAAACAGCUGAAAGCUGAGUUGGUCCUCUUCAAAGGCCUAAUGAGCAACAACCUGUCGGAUCUGGACAGUAAGAUCCAGGAGAAGGCCAUGAAGGUGGACAUGGACAUCUGUAGACGCAUCGACAUCACGGCUCGCCUGUGUGAUGUGGCCCAGCAGAGGAACUGUGAGGACAUGAUCCAGAUCUUCCAGCAGAUGGCCACACCUCCUUCCACUCUGACUCGCCGGCCCCGAAAGCAGGCGGCCCAGUCGGUUAAAGGCGGUGAUGGGGAUGAACCAACCAGCAUCUCUGAGAGCGAGAGGGGCAAGGAUGAGGAGUCUUGUAGCACGUCAGCCAAUCAGAUCAACGAGGAGAUGCAGAGGAUGCUGAACCAGCUGAGGGAGUGUGAGUUUGAGGACGACUGUGACAGCCUGGCCUGGGAGGAGACUGAGGAGACUCUGCUGCUGUGGGAGGAUUUUCCAGGAUACACUCUGGGAGCAGUGGAGACCCAGGGAGAGCAGGAGGAGUCCAUAGAGAAGGUGAUAAAGGACACAGAGUCCCUCUUCCAGACUAGAGAGAAGGAAUAUCAGGAGACAAUCGACCAGAUCGAGUUGGAGCUGGCCACGGCUAAGAGUGACAUGAACAGACACCUGCACGAGUACAUGGAGAUGUGUUCCAUGAAGCGAGGCCUGGACGUGCAGAUGGAGACGUGCAGGAGACUCAUCACCCAGAGUGGAGACAGGAAAUCUCCCCCUCUCGUUACUGCGGCAAUGGAAGACUCUGAUGACGGAGAGAAGGAGUGGAAAAAGACGUCCCCACCCGCAGACUCUGAAAGUGAUGAACCCUACUGUGAAACACAGGUUAAUAGUGGUACGGUCCCUCACUUACCAUGGAGGAAGUCCUAACCCUUACUGAUGAUACCCUGUAGAUGUACCAUAGUCUGGAUAGUGCUGUUGUUUACAUUUUUCCCAUCAAUUAUGUAAAACCGGCAGACUCUUUCCAGGGCCAUAUGUCACCACUGCCCUCUUGUGGUUCAGGUUAUUAAAACACCUAAUCUGAGGAUAGGACUAAAUGGCACUUAAAAACAUUUCAAUGAAUUUCUUAACAUUGUGCUAUUUAUAUCUCUUCUUAUAUGAUAUGAACGAUCAAAAUAUAUACAUUUUUGUUAAGUUUGCACAUUGAUCUUGCUGUUCGUAGCAAGGUCCAACCAAAAACUAUUUGCACACAGUUUUUGUGGAAUAAAUGCCUUAUGUUACAUUGCAGUUACAGAUUUGAAACCACAGCUGAAUUUUUGAAGGCAAAAAAAAAAAAGCAAACUACUUGCACAGGAUAAGUAAUUAUCUAGUAGUCUGUUGCAGUCAAACAAAAUGAGCAUUUGCAAUUUGCUAAAGGGAAAGGACCUAGCUGUUGAUAGCCAUCUAUGAAAAUGUAUUUUCUUUAUAAUUAAUGUCCUUCUCAUGAUCGACUUUCCCUUUUUAAAAGUACCACUUCUAGGAAACCUGUAGAAAGAUUGCUUAAAAAGGUUUUACAUCCUUCAAUCUCACAACAUUUGUAUAUACACAAUAUGUUAUUAACAAAAGUUCACAACAUUGGUAUUGAUGUUGAAUUUAUUAUUAUUUACUUUAUUUGAUUACAUAUUCAUACAUACUUGAUUCAUUUAUUUCAGCACUUUUUCAGUCGUCAUUGAAAUUCAGAUAGCUAUGUAUUUAUUUUAUAUUAAAAUCACUAUAAAGAAAGUAUGAUAGUUGAUAGAUUUUUUUUAUAUGAAAUGCAGGGGAUAAUAUUAUGUAGUUUUGCAAAGAUAAUUCACAAAAGCCAUUGCUAUAAAGUUUAGAGUUAAAAGUAAAAAAUUGGUACCGUUAGCUUUGCACUGUCAUGCACAUUGCUGUGAUUCCAAACUAUAAGCAAACAUAGAAGCAUACUGCAUUAGACCCAUGGAUAGUGUUGAUAUCACAACCCACAUAAACAAGUCCUACUAAAGCACACGCUCAAUGCUAGCGUAUCAAACCCCAGCCAGCAGUGACUUUAUCUUGAACUUAAAAAAGCUCUCUGAUCAAUCAACGGCGAAUCAGACUGCCAUUUUGGUGCACUUUUCAAAUGGACAGCCAAGAGGUAUGAGUUUAAAGGCUGUGGACAAAGGGACAAGUAGGCUUCAGUAGAUGUUGGUCCUGUUCAGGACAAUCUAACAUACUGCUAGCAGGUGAAUAACUUCUUUAGGAGCUCAUUCAAGGGCACUCAAACUGUGACAUGUUACAUGUAGCACGUGAGACCUUCAUUAUCUGAACACGGGCACACCACCUAGUGUGUUUAACUGUCUGCUUUGUGAGAUCUGUGGUUUUGUGUCUGGAUGUUGCCCAGUUUCAUUGCACUUGAACAUGCUCAGUGUUUACAGUUGGAGAAAACGUAAACAACGAUCAUAUCUAGGGCUCGAUUCAAAUCAGUAGCGCAGAAGAUCAGCGUUGACAUUUAAAAGCAAUGUUUCCCGCGUUCGCGGAGACUCCAUUCACGGUAAACGCUGCAUGUGUCGCCUCAAUCAGAAAUGACCUUUGCAUUUCAAUCACACUACAACACAGAUUGUCCGCGCUCCAGAUUGAAUCGAGCCGCUCCUUUGUUUAUUGAUGUCUGAAAGCCUAUUGUAAAUACCCCCCCCCCCCUCUAUAUUGUACAGUUUGUACAUCUCCACAUAUAAGUUGCACAAAAGGAUCUAUAUUCAACAGUAAUGGUAAACACUGUAUAAAAAAUGAAAACAUAUAACACCUGUACUAGCUGUUACUGAAUGUAAAUAACAUGUCAAUGUACACUGAGAAGACAAAUCCAUGUAAGAGAAGCCAGGAAUGCAUGUGAGAUUUCAGAAAGCGAUUUCAGACAGUUUGAAUGAAACGGUGGCCAUUGUACAGGGAGUGUCUUUGGGUGUUCUAAGACUAGCUUUGUUGGUGUGCAUGUACCUCUGUCUAGUGCUGUCGGUCUUGUAUUGCAAGAAUGUUUCAGAGUUUACUUGUUCGCCUCUCUGGGGAUUCAAAACAUAUCUGUCAUAUUAUAAAACUUGAAUGUCUGCCUAGUAAAUUCUCUCAUCUUUACCGCAAAAGAGAAAACACAGAAGAAUGUACAGAAGAAAACAACAACACCAAAAGCAGUCUUAAAACUUGCAUCGCCAUAGCCAUCAAUAGACUACCAUACCUCGUCAUGCAACUGUGUACAGAAGCUCAGCAAGUAAACUUUUGAAAACAUCAAUGUUGAAAUAUGAAUAUUAGCAACAGCUGUGUAAGAAUUAUGAUUAUAUAUGGUGAAAGAGUUGAACAUUACAUUUCCAGUCUCAAAUGAUAUACACGGAGUAUACCAAACAUUAGGAACAACUUCCUAAUAUUGAAACAGCCUCAAUUCGUCGGGGAAUGGACUCCACAAGGUGUCGAAAGCGUUCCACAGGGAUUCUGGCCCAUGUUGACUCCAAUGCUUCCGACAGUUGUGUCAGGAUGGCUGGAUGUCCUUUGGGUGGUGGACCAUUCUUGUUCAUUGCAGUUCUUGACACAAAGCAGUGAGCCUGGCACCUACUACCAUACCCCGUUCAAAGGCACUUAAAUCUUUUGUCUUGCCCGUUCACCCUCUGAAUGGCACACAUACACAAUCCAUGUCGCAAUUGUCUCAAGGCUUAAAAAGCCUUCUUUAACCUGUCACCUCCCCUUCAUCUACACUGAUUUGAAGUGGAUUUAACAAGUGACAUCAAUAAGGGAUCAUAGCGCCCCCGAGGACUGGAAUUGCCCACCACUGACUGGUCAGUCUAUGUAAUGGAAAGAGCAGGUGUUCUUCAUGUUUUGUAUACUCAGUGUAUAUCGGUCAACAUGAUUGAAAUGCAGGUGACUUACAAAUAUGAAUUUGUCGAACAGCAGCAUUGUAUAGAGACGUUAUAAUGAUUAAGUGGUUGCAAAAAAAAGACUUGUACUCCGUUGAGACCAAUAUAAUUAAUCUGGGACUGUGUAUACAAUGUAUCUGUGUAACAUCACAACCUCCAGGAAUCUGGAAACAAUAGGUAAACAAUCUAUGUAUUAAUGGAAGGGGUGUACAGAAUAAAAUAUCUUGAAGGAGA
This is an RNA transcript of Salvelinus fontinalis (brook trout), 5518 nucleotides long. It is a transcript of the gene named non-homologous end joining factor IFFO1-like, with no coding region annotated. The record is from RefSeq and is a predicted model, not a curated record. NCBI's taxonomy places the organism in Eukaryota, Metazoa, Chordata, Actinopteri, Salmoniformes, Salmonidae. The transcript is spliced from 10 exons.